This 254-nucleotide ribosomal RNA is filed under the name uncultured bacterium. RNAcentral's name for it is "partial 16S ribosomal RNA". It matches the Rfam family "Bacterial small subunit ribosomal RNA", at positions 524 to 776 of the family's 1533-position model. The record is from RNAcentral.
UACAGAGGAUGCAAGCGUUAUUCGGAAUUAUUGGGCGUAAAGGGCUCGUAGGCGGCCAACUAAGUCGGAUGUGAAAUCCCCAGGCUUAACCUGGGAACUGCAUCCGAUACUGGAUGGCUUGAAUCCGGGAGAGGGAUGCAGAAUUCCAGGUGUAGCGGUGAAAUGCGUAGAUAUCUGGAGGAAUACCGGUGGCGAAGGCGGCAUCCUGGACCGGCAUUGACGCUGAGUGAGCGAAAGCCAGGGGAGCAAACGGG